This 4787-nucleotide long non-coding RNA is filed under the name Homo sapiens (human). RNAcentral describes it as "HSALNT0407270". The record is from RNAcentral. Lineage: Eukaryota; Metazoa; Chordata; Mammalia; Primates; Hominidae.
GCAUUUUCUCUGAGACAGCUGCCAUUCUAGUCUCCCAGCCAUUCUUAGGAAGAGACGUGCCUGUCUCUGGGAAGAGGCAACUUCUCUGCAUGUCAGAGGAUGCUGGUCUUUCAAGUCCCUGCUGCUUUGGAAGAUCUCUGAGGCCUUCAACCACAUUCUUUGUAUUUAUGUCCUACUCUUCUACUUGUUCUCUGUGGAAGAGAGACAGAGGAAAAAAGCUACUGUAACCUUAUCCUAAGUGGAUGCCUAGGUGAACAUUUUGGAUGGUCACUUAACCUAAGUCUCAGUUUCCUCAUUAAUAAAAUGGGGGCACAUGAGACAUACCUCAUGAGGUUGUUUCGAGGCUUAAAUAUACGUUAAAUGUAUUUUGUGAGCCUAAAAGAUAUUUAAACACAAGCCGCUAUUACAUCUUUACAUGAUUGAAGUUCCUGAAGGAGACCUGUAGUGGGUGUCUAUACAGGGCAGUUGGUUCAUGUGGCCAGGUCUACUUGGGGAUGUGAAUGGAAGUUUACUUCUUCUGGGAACUUUGAUUGUUAAUAUUGUUGGAUUUAUCACUCUUUAGUGAAACAAGUUACUUCCUCAUGGUGGUAAGAAGUCCCAGAACACUGUUCCAAACACUUUCCCAAAGGCUCAUCCUUGAAAACCCAAGGCCAUCAACAAGCCAUUGGACUACCCUUUUUUCAAAUACACAUCUUUCUGGCAAACAGGGGAUUCUUCUAAAAUAAUUUGAAGAAAUGAAAAAUACCAGCUUACGUGCUUCACUCUGAGAUCAUUUCUGUCCUGUUAGGUACAAUCUUAGGGUUUAUCCCUGACUUUUCCCCCUGAGCAAGUCUUACUCAGCUCAGGUGAUAUAAGACAGUUGCACAACUUAUUGGUCUUUUUUGAGUAAAUAUUUGCUUGAGCUUCAGUUCUUUUUAUCACUGUCCUGACAGUUCUACAUUUACCCACAAGUUGUAGAACUCUCUGGCUUUUUCUCCCUGUGCAAGAUCAGCACCAUCCUUGUAACAGAAAGAUGCAUUUGUCCAUCACUUGAGUGAUCUUUUUGAGAGACCACUUUACCUCUUCUCUACUGAGUAGUGGAUGAUAAGACCUACUUCUAGUCCAUUCCACCUGGCAUUUGAAAUAUCACCUUUUUAUACCCAUUAUCAUAUCCACUAUUUAAGGAAUCUCAGCAUCCUGAUGUCUUUUUGUCUAUAGGAAACCUACUCUGACUCAAAUCUGCCAUUAAAGUCUGAACAAUGCAGCCACUGAUCAGGCCUCAGACAGGCUUGACUUACACAUGUUAUCUCAGAGGGAUAUCAAUGUGAUUCAGGAUCACCCACUAAAACCUGAGCUCCAACUAGCCUUUUGAAUUGGCUGACAAGCUCCUUGCCUGCCCUGAUGGAACAGAACACCAGACACUAUGGGGGGAAGUGAGAGGGAAAGUUCUAGUCUCUAAAGCCAUGGUUUUCAUUUGGGAGUUAUGGGCAGUAGGGAAAACACUUCUACAAUGCAAAUUCCAGACUAUACCUUUGGCCUACUAAAUCAGAACCCAGGGUGGAGGCAACCCUUCCCCUUUCUUCUCCUUUCCCUAUCCAAAGAAAAGCCAUGGUAGCAAGGCACAGAGGGGGUUGAAGUGCCUGUGUGCCAGGGUCAUCAAGAGAGCACUGGCAUCUAAGGGUGGUAGGUUUGCCACCAUUUUGACUGUGCCAGGGCUCAAUAGAUAGUCAAGAAUAAAAUUAUUGGACAGCAAAAUUCCUGGGUGUAGGAGACAUAGUGCAGCUAUACUAUUUAUUCACUCUGCAUCUGGAAGUAAUUGAUUCAAUCUCUUAAACAGCAAUUUCUUAAAUAGGAAGUGGGCUAAUGAGAUAGGUGUUUGGUAAAAGUUUAGUGCUUGACAAGUUGGUUUUUGUUGUUGAUGCUAUCAACAGCAUUCUUCAAAUGAUGAAGAAUUAGAUGUUAUCAUCUUCAGUGCCUUUCAAGAUUCCAAAUGAAAAUUGGCUGACUCAAGGUUGAUUUGUACUAAACACUUCCUCAUUAUGCUAAACAGACGUCUCAUGGCCAAGUUGGUUUGCCCUUUCUUCAUUCUCAAUAUUUUAGGAACGCAUGUUUACAAUUUUUUAACUCUCUUGGAAAGAAGUUUGGUAAUAUGUAUUAAUAGGCUUUAAAUGUCUCUUCCUCAGACCAAGGAAAUUUUUAGACAGCUAUUUUAUUUAUUUAUUUAUUUUAUUUUUUGGAGAGAUUAUCACUUCUAUUGCUUUAUCCAUACCAUCUUACAUAUGACCAAUAGGAGAAUUUCUAUUCCCUAAUAGUGAGAGCUGGUUUAUCUCACAUUCUAAUAGUAGGAAACUCUAUCUAUGAUAUUUCCAAAUUUGCCAGAAUCCGUGUCCAUAAUGAUAGCUUCAUGGCUUAGAAAAUUCUGAUGUGCCUGAUUCUGAACAGAAUUUCCUACAGUGAAUUUCCUACAGUGUACCUUGUUGCAAUCAUAUUAUUCUUUGUAAAUUGGCCAUACAUUUUGGUAUAAAAAUAAUGAGAACCCCAUUCCCUGAUCAUUCAAGAUAACUGAGUUCACCACCUUAUGGAGCAAACACAAUCCCAAAUGGAUUAGACUUUCAGCACUAGUUGAUAACUAUUUUAAUAUGAAUUGGUUCUUCAUCAGCUCUCAUUUCUUUCUACUAAAAGAUUCUGAGGAAGAUGGAAAGCCAAGCUUGGGUACACAGAAUACAAUACCUUUGUUUUACUUGGGGUGAUGAUGUUGUUUCAGGUGGUCCAUUCCCAAAAUAUAUCCACGAACCCCAGAUUAGAUGUUGAUGGCCACUCAGUCCUUCUUAAUAGCAAUGAAUGGAAAUGGGUUUUACCAAGAAAUUUCAACAUUUUCUUGCUUCCACAUAAACCUUUUGAUGUAUUUUCUAACAUUUCACAACUAGAUUAAAACAUAACACGUAAGGGGUCUGUUACCCCUCCCAAGCCCAUCUCCAUUAAGAAACAACACACACACACACACACAAAAGAAACAUCAGGCUGCACAAUAAAGGGGUCACCUUACAUAAUGCACAAAGCUGUGCAUGCUGCCUUCUCUCACAUGCUCAUGGUAGCUAAUGCUCUGCACAUGAGAGGGGCUCUAUAAAAGUGGUCAAAUGACAAAAAUGGUAGGUUGUAUAACAAAAGCAGCACACACUAAAAUUAUAAUUCUCAUAUUCACAAAAGCAGAGGUAGGCCUUUUCUUGUGACUGUUAGAAGUUCUGCAUGGAUGAAUGCUAGGUCACUAUCAGAAUUGUUUUCCCAUCUGUUUUUCCACCCACUCCCUGCUAUUGGUUUAGCAUGUUUUCGAUACCUCAAUAACUCAAAGGUCAAAUGUUUCCUUCCCAGGUAUAUUUCCAGCCUCUGUAGUAAAGUUUGUAAGCUCUCAUGUCUCAAGAGGAGUCUAAUAAAUUCACUGUUUUGUUUAGUCUGAAGAUCUUAGCCAGAAGCAACUAGAGAGCUGUAUUAGUAUUUGGUUUAUUUCAAAAUUGGUGAGCAUGCUUUGAAUUUUGAAAAUCCCUAUGUGAUAACUCUUAGGAAGAGCCCUUCUGGCCACUCAGAGGCUUAUCUGCAAAUGGGUGGAUGUUUUACUUAAAUGUAAAACCCAAAACCAUAAAAACCCUAGAAGAAAACCUAGGCAAUACCUUUCAGGACGUAGGCAUGGGCAAAUACUUCAUGACAAAAACACCAAAAGCAAUUGCAACAAAAGCCAACAUUGACAAAUGGGGUCUAAUUAAGCUAAAGAGCUUCUGCACAGCAAAAGAAACUAUCAUCAGAGGGAAUAGGCAACCUAGAGAAUGGAAGAAAGUUUUUGCAAUCUAUCCAUCUGGCAAAGGUCUAAUAUCCAGAAUUUACAAGUAACUUAACCAAAUUUACAAUUAAAAAAACCCAUUAAAAAGUGGGCAAAGGGUAUGAACAGACACUUCUCAAAAGAAGACAUUUAUGCGGCCAAAAAACAUGAAAAAAAGCUCAACAUCACUGAUCAUCAGAGAAAUGCAAAUCAAAAUCACAAUGAGAUACCAUCUCACACCAGUCAGAAUGGCGAUUAUUAAAAACUCAGGAAACAAUAGAUGCUGGUGAGUCUGUGGAGAAAUAGGCACGCUUUUACAAUGCUGGUGGGAAUGUAAAUUAGUUCAACCACUGUGGAAGACAGCAUGGCGAUUCCUCAAGGAUCUAGAACCAGAAAUACCAUUUGACCGAGCAAUCCCAUUACUGGGUAUAUACCCAAAGGAAUAUAAAUCAUUCUACUAUAAAGACACACGCACACGUAUGUUUACUGCAGCACUAUUUACAAUAGUAAAGACUUGGAACCAACCCAAAUGCCCAUCAAUGAUAGACUGGAUUUAAAAAAUAUGGUACACAUGCACCACAGAAUACUAUGCAGCCAUAAAAAGGAAUGAGAUCAUGUACUUUGCAGGGACAUGGAUGAAGCUGGAAGCCAUCAUUCUCAGCAAACUAACACAGGAAGAGAAAACCAAAUACUGCAUGUUCUCACUCAUAAGUGGGAGUUGAACAAUGAGAACACAUGGACACAGAGAGGGAAACAACACACACCAGGGCCUGUUGGGGGGUGGGGGGUGAGGGGAGGGAACUUGGAGGAUGGGUCAAUAGGUGUGGCAAACCACCAUGGGGUGCGUAUUCCUAUGUAACAAACCUGCACAUUCUGCACAUGUAUCCCAUUUUUUUAGAAGAAAUUUAAAAAAAGCUAUUUUAAAGAAAUGGACAAGCUCAUAAAAUUGUUUUUAUAUCUUCAAUAAAGUAUUGCUUGUCAACACUAAAAUAUUAUU